Molecule: RNA transcript, 1327 nt
Organism: Zea mays
Lineage: Eukaryota; Viridiplantae; Streptophyta; Magnoliopsida; Poales; Poaceae
Exons: 7
Source: RefSeq, marked validated
CCUUCUCAAGUCUUGACACAACUUGCUCCAUGGAUGGCCGUUGCUUCUUGUGGCCAGUGCAUAACAGAGCAAGCUUCAAACUGAGGUCAAAUGCCUCCGUUGAAUACUCUCCAUUCAACCUAGGAUCAGCAAACUCUGAUACAUUGCCAUCUUGGAUAAGUGUAGAAGCCUGGGAACAAAAGUGACAUUGGCAUAGCAGUAUUCAUGAUGUUGAUUGCUCGUCUUCCUGAGAGGAGUUGGAGGAGCACCAUGCCGAAGCUGUACACAUCCCCUGCAGCAUUCACCCUGUGGUUGUGGCGGUAUUCUGGAUCAACAUAGCCAAAUGUUCCUCUGACUUCAGAGCUUACGUGCGACACACCUAAGUCGAUGACUCUAGAGAGUCCAAAAUCUGACAGCUUGGGUUCCAUAUCAACCCCAAGAAGUAUAUUGGUUGGCUGUCAUAGAAAGUGUGAGUUUGACUAAACAUGAAUCUAUAGAUGCACUGAAGACUUUCAGAUCAUGCAACAAACCUUGAUGUCACGGUGAACGAUGCAGCCUUCAGGGUAUAUGUGCAGGAACCAAAGGCCACAAGCACUUCCAAGUGCUAUCUGAAGCCUCUGAAUCCAUGGAAGCUCAUACACAAGAAAACACUCCUCCUGCCCGUCACAGUAACCUCUUAAUGACACAAGGCCAGCCAUUUGUCAGCACUCCUCUGUAUACCUUGCCUGGAACCACAAGAUGAACCAGUUGCACACCAUAAAGGACAACAUAUACUUGAACAGUAGUCUCCUCAUACUCAAGGGAUGCCAACGCGACCUCUGCAAGAAAAAAAAACAUGUGCAACUUCGUAUUGCUAUUAGUGGAAAACAGCUAUGGCCCCAAUUAUCACCCCAGCACAGAGGCAUCCUAGCAACGCUUCGUAUCCUGUUGAUAAAUUUUGAGGAGCUCAAAGCUUGAAAGAUCAAGUAGAAAGGCACACUUUGUCUUCAACUGUCUGUUGGUUUUUACUGCUGUUCAGCCUGUCCUUAUGUUGAUUGUUUUGUUGGAUAUGUGGAUGUUAAGUUGUUAUAAUCGACUUGAACUCGCCAGAUGUACUACUUCGCAAAUCUCUUGUUUGGAUCUGUGAACACACAGGGAUAAUUUAUAGGGAAUGAUCCUGUCAUACUAUGAAGACGAAAUUUCAUGACGCCAUCAAAUGUAGGCUCACUAUUGGUGGGAGAAUUCGAUACCAUACUGCUUCAACUGUAUUUAUAUGCCUUGAGAUUUGAUACCGUGUCAUUUCACACUCCAAUUUGAAUAGUACCUUUAAGAUUUGAUACUGUGUUGUUUCAGCUUUCAACAGUAUAAU